Molecule: ribosomal RNA, 463 nt
Filed under: uncultured bacterium
Lineage: Bacteria
Description: partial 16S ribosomal RNA
Rfam family: Bacterial small subunit ribosomal RNA
Source: RNAcentral
CUACGGCGGCAGCAGUGGGGAAUAUUGCACAAUGGGCGCAAGCCUGAUGCAGCCAUGCCGCGUGUAUGAAGAAGGCCUUCGGGUUGUAAAGUACUUUCAGCGGGGAGGAAGGGAGUAAAGUUAAUACCUUUGCUCAUUGACGUUACCCGCAGAAGAAGCACCGGCUAACUCCGUGCCAGCAGCCGCAGUAAUACGGAGGGUGCAAGCGUUAAUCGGAAUUACUGGGCGUAAAGCGCGCGCAGGCGGUUUGUUAAGUCAGAUGUGAAAUCCCCGGGCUCAACCUGGGAACUGCAUCUGAUACUGGCAAGCUUGAGUCUCGUAGAGGGGGGUAGAAUUCCGGGUGUAGCGGUGAAAUGCGUAGAGAUCUGGAGGAAUACCGGUGGCGAAGGCGGCCCCCUGGACGAAGACUGACGCUCAGGUGCGAAAGCGUGGGGAGCAAACAGGAUUAGAUACCCUCGUAGUC